This 223-nucleotide long non-coding RNA is filed under the name Homo sapiens (human). RNAcentral's name for it is "non-protein coding lnc-HSPH1-7:1". The record is from RNAcentral. Lineage: Eukaryota; Metazoa; Chordata; Mammalia; Primates; Hominidae.
CAAUACUCAGCAAUAUUUUUAGUUAGUCCGCAUCUUGCCACAGAAAUUGUUCUGGUCAGAGCGGCAGUUACAAAAUUCUGUUAUUUUGUUUCUUCCUAUUCUACUUGGCCUCUCUGUAUCAUCUGACACUGAGGAUCCCUUCCUUUAAUUUGAAAAUCUCUUCUUUCUUAAUGUCUUAAUUUACCUCUCUUGGCUUUCUCUCUGUUGCUAAGACCUUAGUUUU